UAACCUGCCCUUAACUCUGGGAUAAGCCUGGGAAACUGGGUCUAAUACCGGAUAUGACUCCUCAUCGCAUGGUGGGGGGUGGAAAGCUUUUUUGUGGUUUUGGAUGGACUCGCGGCCUAUCAGCUUGUUGGUGAGGUAAUGGCUCACCAAGGCGACGACGGGUAGCCGGCCUGAGAGGGUGACCGGCCACACUGGGACUGAGACACGGCCCAGACUCCUACGGGAGGCAGCAGUGGGGAAUAUUGCACAAUGGGCGCAAGCCUGAUGCAGCGACGCCGCGUGAGGGAUGACGGCCUUCGGGUUGUAAACCUCUUUCAGUAGGGAAGAAGCGAAAGUGACGGUACCUGCAGAAGAAGCGCCGGCUAACUACGUGCCAGCAGCCGCGGUAAUACGUAGGGCGCAAGCGUUAUCCGGAAUUAUUGGGCGUAAAGAGCUCGUAGGCGGUUUGUCGCGUCUGCCGUGAAAGUCCGGGGCUCAACUCCGGAUCUGCGGUGGGUACGGGCAGACUAGAGUGAUGUAGGGGAGACUGGAAUUCCUGGUGUAGCGGUGAAAUGCGCAGAUAUCAGGAGGAACACCGAUGGCGAAGGCAGGUCUCUGGGCAUUAACUGACGCUGAGGAGCGAAAGCAUGGGGAGC
This 635-nucleotide ribosomal RNA is filed under the name Arthrobacter sp. 7AL.5. Its description in RNAcentral is "bacterial SSU rRNA". It matches the Rfam family "Bacterial small subunit ribosomal RNA", at positions 122 to 769 of the family's 1533-position model. The record is from RNAcentral. Lineage: Bacteria; Bacillati; Actinomycetota; Actinomycetes; Micrococcales; Micrococcaceae.